AAAAACUCGCCGCCUCAACUCCCCCAUACGCCGCCGCGAUAACCGACAGCUCCGUCCGGAUGAGGCGACGCCGGACUCCCCUCCAUCUCCAAGUUUCUACCCCCACCGCCCCCAGCUGCCGCCGGCCGGACAAUCGAACCGUUCAACCCAUCCACCAGCCACAGCUCCCCGCCACCCGCUUCAACCUUCAAUAAUGCGAACGGCAUCGCCUCCUCUGCCGCAACCACAAACCCCGUUUCCGCCGCCGGCCACCAGGUGAACGGAGCGGCAUCACUUUACGAGCAGGUGGACGUUGCAAGCGCUACUAUUCCUUUCCCCCAUGCUAUCUCGCAAUGGAUGUGCGCCUGCUGAACGAACUGCCCCUCACUCAUGGGGGCACCUUGGUACAAGGUGCAUUCAAAUUGAAUUUACAGGUGAUCGAUCCAUUUAAACAUAGUGUUUGUCAAAUUGCUUGGAAUAGUGUAUUUGCUUAGUGUCACAAUAUGGGAGCUUCUUCUGAUGUUUUAGAAUGUUACUAACUCUGUACCUUAAUAUAAGACGUUUUUGAACUGCAAAAACUUCUUAUAUUAAGACAAAGAGGUAGUAUUCGUCAUUCUUUUCAUCUAUGAUGUGCUCACAUACUCUUGAUGUGUUUGUAGUCCUAGAAUGAAACAGGUCCGCGGUUUCAGAUUGCAUUUGCACAUUUUUGUUAAUACAUGCCAGCUUGGAAUGGUCUAGCUCCUUUAUAGUCUUAUGGCUUUGAAGUGUAUACAUACACGCAAGGUGCUUUCGAAAUCGACAAAUUGGACAUGGUACAAAGGUGGACUGGAGAUCACAAGUUGCCUGACCAACUUCUGAAGCUGCAUGACAAUCACAAGGAUGGCAUAAGGGCAAAUGUUGUUGCUACAAUUACUACGUGAUAAGUAUGAGGUGAGAUUUGUAGAUCAGGGAGCCAAUGGAGGUAAUCACACGCGGCAUCUCUCCUGGCUGAUCAAUCAAUGUCAGUGGCCUGGGUGAGCCAUUAGUAGUUGUUGCGGCCUAGAGAACACUGUGCUUCCGCUCAAUAUCUGCUUCCUCUAUUCAGUUGACUUUUAAGCUGCAAAAGAGUCUACGGAAUGACCCGGGAGAGAGAAGACCAUCAUGCAUAGAGCUCACCAAGGCCAUAUCACAUACAGCCCCGCAAUGCUGAAAGGAGUACACUGACGCAAUGUUCACCGAGUACAUGAAUAGAUCUAGUGAUGAUGUGCGCGCUAUGGGGAAGGAUCUAGGACCAGAUCAACUGUCCUGAAUAAAAGAGCAACUGAUGCAGUGCAUAAUGGCUUUGGACUGCCAAUCAAGUGUUGGGCCGCAGCUACUUUGGUGGUGACGAAGAGGGAAACCAUGCAUUUUGACAGGAAGAUCAAGCGGGGAAGUGGGACGAACUGUGACGAUCACCACAUGGCGUCAAGUGGAAUAUAAUGCAGGUGCAGCAAACCAAAGGGGAAAACAUCAUGCGGACAACAACCCAGCCUGAAAUGCAAAAGUGAAACAACGCCACAAACAGCAAGUGAAUGAUAAUGAUACAGUGCAUCAAAUCACCAGCUGGAGAUGGAAGAACGCGUAUGUCUACAUUUGCCUGAACCAUUAUCAUGAGCAAUCCAAGUCGCUUGAUAAAAUCACCGUUAAACCUAUUUAAUGACUCAUCCAAAAUCCUCGCAUCACCAGGCACUCCCAUUGAAUGGCAAUGGCACAGUCGCACGGAGCAGAGCAACUACUGUUGAACCGAUGAACAAAGCAAAAAAAUUGAAAAGUUCGGAUGAUCUGGACAGAGAAAUAAGCUGGCCUCACAUGACUCUUGUCCACACAUCGAGUUCGGAGAUCCUUGACACAGAAGAAAACUCAUGAAGGUCUUGUAGUAUGUAGGCUCUUGGCUCACCGGGGGCUUUGACUAUGCAGCCAAACAGCCUCAGGGAUAUGUCUGUGCAUUGUUGUGGCUGGCAUCGCAACAAUGCUGCAAUCAAAACAGGUGCAACUGUGUGUAAGCAUCUAUCAGUUCUAAUGAAAUAGCAGAGGCGAUGAGGCAGACAUACCAUAAUCCAGGAAGUGAUAUGUCCGAUAGCAAUCACGCCUGCAAGAAUACUGGCAAUACAGAUGGAAGCAAACCAAGAGGGCAUUGCAUACCAAAGUGCUCCCACCUUCAGAAGGCAGAUCCCAAGGAACAUCACGCGAGCCGUGUGACCGGAACAAUCCAGGGGAAGGAUUGAUCGGGUGUUGAAGAGGCCAAAGAGCCCUCCAAUGGUUGAUGCGCUCCAUACAAUCCCAACACAAGUAAAAACUAUGGUCUGGGUCAGAUCAUCAGUCUUUUUUGUUUCUGAAUAGUCCCUCCAGGCCAAAUACGAGUGGCAGAAAAGCCAUAAAGAUCACAGUGUAAAGUGUCUGCUUUUUGCUCCAAGCGUUGCUGUCCUGCGAUUCAACGAAACAAACAUAUUGUAUGAUACUGAUGAUGAAAUAGUAUUGGUUCCAAAUA
Hordeum vulgare subsp. vulgare (domesticated barley) is the source of this 2485-nucleotide long non-coding RNA. RefSeq lists it as uncharacterized. The record is from RefSeq and is a predicted model, not a curated record. NCBI's taxonomy places the organism in Eukaryota, Viridiplantae, Streptophyta, Magnoliopsida, Poales, Poaceae. The transcript has 7 exons.